Molecule: non-coding RNA, 76 nt
Organism: Phrynosoma platyrhinos (Desert horned lizard)
Lineage: Eukaryota; Metazoa; Chordata; Lepidosauria; Squamata; Phrynosomatidae
Source: the annotation of a GenBank genome assembly
UCCCAGAGAACCAGCUGGGUGGUUUGAGCCUUGGACUAUGACUCUGGAGACCAGGGUUCAAAUCCCUGUUUGGGUA